RNAcentral lists this small nucleolar RNA (135 nucleotides) under Fukomys damarensis (Damara mole-rat). Its description in RNAcentral is "Small nucleolar RNA SNORA24". It matches the Rfam family "Small nucleolar RNA SNORA24". Rfam says of the family: ACA24 is a member of the H/ACA class of snoRNA that guide the sites of modification of uridines to pseudouridines. The record is from Rfam by way of RNAcentral. Lineage: Eukaryota; Metazoa; Chordata; Mammalia; Rodentia; Bathyergidae.
AUCUUUAAACAGGAAUAAAAAACCUGUCGGCUGUGGCAGUCUCCCUUCCCAGCCAUGGAAGAGCAUAUUCUUGUUUAUUGGCAAAGCUGUCACCAUUUAAUUGGUAUCAGAUUCUGACUUGCACAAGUAACAUUC